GAUGAACGCUGGCGGCGUGCCUAAUACAUGCAAGUCGAGCGAACGGACGAGAAGCUUGCUUCUCUGAUGUUAGCGGCGGACGGGUGAGUAACACGUGGAUAACCUACCUAUAAGACUGGGAUAACUUCGGGAAACCGGAGCUACGACCGGAUAAUAUUUUGAACCGCAUGGUUCAAAAGUGAAAGACGGUCUUGCUGUCACUUAUAGAUGGAUCAGCGCUGCAUUAGUUAGUUGGUAAGGUAACGGCUUACCAAGGCAACGAUGCAUAGCCGACCUGAGAGGGUGAUCGGCCACACUGGAACUGAGACACGGUCCAGACUCCUACGGGAGGCAGCAGUAGGGAAUCUUCCGCGAUGGGCGAAAGCCUGACGGAGCAACGCCGCGUGAGUGAUGAAGGUCUUCGGAUCGUAAAACUCUGUUAUUAGGGAAGAACAUAUGUGUAAGUAACUGUGCACAUCUUGACGGUACCUAAUCAGAAAGCCACGGCUAACUACGUG
Molecule: ribosomal RNA, 497 nt
Filed under: uncultured bacterium
Lineage: Bacteria
Description: partial 16S ribosomal RNA
Rfam family: Bacterial small subunit ribosomal RNA
Source: RNAcentral